CUCGCUUUGAUUGUAUCCUGAAAUUACAAAAAGAAAAAAAAGUAGUUUUAGAGAGGCUGCAUAUGAAAAAGUAGUUCCUUCAUUUUUCGAGAUGGGACAGAAGAAUUUGAAACACUUCAUGUAGCUUGGAUGUCACAAUCUUUUUCUAAUAGUUUGAUGAUAAUUUUUGAUGACUCACAAAGAACACAAAAAGAAAGAUUACAUACAAAAAGCCAAUGGAAUCAGUGGUCCUAGUUUUUAAGGUCCACCAUAUAUAUGGAUGGUCCAUAGGAAUCUUCAUAUAGCCCUGCAGUAACAAAAAGAAAUGAUUCUUUUUACAUUUUACAUUGUUCUUAUUCGUAAAAGUAUUAUAAAGACUUCUGUAUUUUGGUUUCUUUUAUUCAAAAACAAGAUAAAUUAAUCUCCAUAUAUUAGACCAUUAUACCAUUAAGUGAUGGUGUUUUAUUGUUUCGUUGCUUGAAUUAGUCCCUCCAUGUAAAAAAUUUCAUUCAUUUCUUUUACUAAAAAUUUAUCUAUUUUGCUUGAAUUAAUCAUUCCAUACCAACAUGAGGUACACAUGGCAUGUCAGGUGUCAUUGUUUGGUUACUCCACCAACCACACCAGCAUUUAACAGUAAAAAUGUAUAGAAUUUUUAACUGAAAGACCUGUUUGCUUUUAGAUGUUACGUAUAAUGACUAAUUUAUUUAUUUAUUAAGUAAGAGAUAAAGUACAAUCCGGCUCUUAAUAUAUAGGAUCUCUAUAAACCUACUUAUUCCUACCCUUUAUUAAAUAUAUAAAAAACUUUUUAUACCAAAAUAAAUAUGAUAAUAAUUAUCCCUAGGCCUCCAUUUCUGAAAAUUGAAGCUGAAAAAUACAACUUGCAAUUUUCUAGUUCCUACUAUAAAGUUUAAACGGCCCCACAGAGGACCAUCACCGAAAGGAAAGGUUUCAAGUUUUCCUUUUCAUUUCAGUUUGUUUUAUUAUUAUAUAAAAUCUUUUUAGAUUCUUACACGUAUAAUAACUUCACAUGAUGUUUGUAAGUUUUCAAAACAGACAUGAAAAACAUUAUAAAAAUCAAUACAAGUACCUAACAAGCAAUUAUUUUUUUGAUAGGGUCUUAAUUUAUGUAUAAGAAUCUGGAAAAUGAGAGACCCCCCUCCACGAAUUAUUAUUUUUUUCAACCACCGUGAUUUCGUGCAGACGUUUGACAUUAUCAGGCACACAUUUCAACGUCCAUGCAUCAUCAACUUAAUUAUAUACAUAAAUAAACUAAAAAUUGAAUUGUAUUCUAAAUUAUAUAUUCAGAAAACGAAUUAAUUAAUCUCUAUAUGUUAAAUUAAAUAAUAAAUUGGUAAUUAUAUUAAAAAUUUAUCUAUUUUUACUCUUAAAAGCUAGUUCUUAUACUUCAUUAU
Molecule: long non-coding RNA, 1391 nt
Filed under: Gossypium raimondii (Peruvian cotton)
Lineage: Eukaryota; Viridiplantae; Streptophyta; Magnoliopsida; Malvales; Malvaceae
Description: long non-coding RNA (GRAI_LNC007923)
Source: RNAcentral